This 835-nucleotide ribosomal RNA is filed under the name Streptococcus sp. RNAcentral describes it as "bacterial SSU rRNA". It matches the Rfam family "Bacterial small subunit ribosomal RNA", at positions 536 to 1390 of the family's 1533-position model. Lineage: Bacteria; Bacillati; Bacillota; Bacilli; Lactobacillales; Streptococcaceae. The record is from RNAcentral.
GAGCCUGGCUCGUAUUAUUGGGCGUAAGCGAGCGCAGGCGGUAGAUAGUCUGAAGUUAAAGGCUGUGGCUUAACCAUAGUACGCUUUGGAAACUGUUUAACUUGAGUGCAAGAGGAGAGAGUGGAAUUCCAUGUGUAGCGGUGAAAUGCGUAGAUAUAUGGAGGAACACCGGUGGCGAAAGCGGCUCUCUGGCUUGUAACUGACGCUGAGGCUCGAAAGCGUGGGGGAGCAAACAGGAUUAGAUACCCUGGUAGUCCACGCCGUAAACGAUGAGUGCUAGGUGUUAGACCCUUUCCGCGGUUUAGUGCCGCAGCUAACGCAUUAAGCACUCCGCCUGGGGAGUACGACCGCAAGGUUGAAACUCAAAGGAAUUGACCGGGGGCCCGCCCCAAGCGGGGGAAGCAUGGUGGUUUAUUUCGAGGCACGCGGAAGAAACCUUACCAGUCUUGACAUCCUCCUACCCGCUCUAGAAAAAGAAUUUUCCUUUCGGAAAAAGUGGACCGGGGGGGCAUGGUUGUGGCCGCUCCGGGUCGGGGGAGGUUGGGUUUAAGUCCCGCAACGGGCGCAACCCCUAUUGUUAGUUGCCACCAUUCGGUUGGGCCCUUCUAGCGGGAUUGCCGGUAAAAACGGAGGAAGGUGGGGAUGACUCAAACCUCAUGCCCCUUAUGACCUGGGCUAAACACGUCCACAAUGGCUGGUACAACGGGCCGAAACCGGGAAGGAAGCAAAUCUCUAAAGCCAGUCUCAGUCGGAUUGAGGCUGCAACUCGCUGCAUGAAGUCGGAAUCGCUAGUAAUCGCGAUCAGCACGCGCGUGACGCCCCCCCCGGUAUAUAA